Molecule: long non-coding RNA, 1089 nt
Filed under: Prunus persica (peach)
Lineage: Eukaryota; Viridiplantae; Streptophyta; Magnoliopsida; Rosales; Rosaceae
Description: long non-coding RNA (PPER_LNC003358)
Source: RNAcentral
UACAAUACACCAACCACUCCAUUUCAGAACGAACUUCGUACGAACCUGAAUUGUCAAAUUUCGUGGACUGACCGAUAUCGAAUUGAGUCCAAAACUUGGGGAGCAUUGUAAUAUUGUGGGAGGAGUCAUUUAGUGGGUUUUGAGUGAAAUACAAUCCCUAGAACUAUACAAUACACCAACCACUCCAUUUAAGAACGAACUUCGUACGAACCUGAAUUGUCAAAUUUUGUGGACCGAUCGAUAUCGGAUUGAGUCCAAAACUUGGGGAACAUCAUAAUAUUGUGGGAGGAGGCAUUUGGUGGGUUUUGAGUGAAAUACAAUCCCUAGAACUAUACAAUACAUCAACCACUCCAUUUCCGAACGAACUUGGUACGAACCUGAAUUGUCAAAUUUCGUGGACCGAUCGAUAUCGGAUUGAGUCCAAAACUUGGGGAACAUCAUAAUAUUGUGGGAGGAGUCAUUUGGUGGGUUUUGAGUGAAAUCCAAUAUCUAGAACUAUACAAUACACCAACCACCCCAUUUCAGAACGAACUUCAUACGAACCUGAAAUGUCCAAUUUGUGGGAGGAGUCAUUUGGUGGGUUUUGAGUGAAAUCCAAUCUCUAGAACUAUACAAUACACCAACCACCCCAUUUCAGAACGAACUUCGAAUGAACUUGAAUUGCCCGAUUUCAUUGACCAAUCGAUAUCGGAUUGAGUCCAAAACUUGGGAAAGAACAUAACAUUGUGGGAGGAGGCAUCUGGUGGGUUUUGAGUGAAAUACAAUCCCUAGAACUAUACAAUACACUAAGCACUCCAUUUCAGAACGAACUUCGUACGAACCUGAAUUGUCCGAUUUCAAGGACCAAUCGAUAUAGGAUUGAGUCCAAAACUUGGGGAACAUCAUAAAAUUGUGGGAGGAGUCAUUUGGUGGGUUUUGAGUGAAAUCCAAUCUCUAGAACUAUACAAUACACCAACCACCCCAUUUCAGAACGAACUUCGUACGAACCUGAAUUGUCCGAUUUCAAGGACCAAUCGAUAUUGGAUUGAGUCCAAAACUUGGGGAACAUCAUAAUAUUGUCGGAGGAGUCAUUUGGUGGGUUUUGAGUGA